GACGAACGCUGGCGGCGUGCUUAACACAUGCAAGUCGAACGGAAAGGCCCUGCUUUUGUGGGGUGCUCGAGUGGCGAACGGGUGAGUAACACGUGAGUAACCUGCCCUUGACUUUGGGAUAACUUCAGGAAACUGGGGCUAAUACCGGAUAGGAUCUCCUGCUGCAUGGUGGGGGUUGGAAAGUUUCGGCGGUUGGGGAUGGACUCGCGGCUUAUCAGCUUGUUGGUGUGGUAGUGGCUUACCAAGGCCUUGACGGGUAGCCGGCCUGAGAGGGUGACCGGCCACAAUGGGACUGAGAUACGGACCAGACUCCAACGGGAGGCAGCAGUGGAGAAUAUUGCACAGUGGGCGGGAGCCUGAUACAACGGCGCCGCGUGCGGGAAGACGGCCUUCGGGGUGUAAACCGCUUUCGCCUGAGACGAAGCGUGAGUGACGGUAAUGAGUAAAGAAGCACCGGCUAACUACGUG
Molecule: ribosomal RNA, 468 nt
Filed under: uncultured bacterium
Lineage: Bacteria
Description: partial 16S ribosomal RNA
Rfam family: Bacterial small subunit ribosomal RNA
Source: RNAcentral